CGCGUAGGCGGCUUUUUAAGUCAGAUGUGCAAUCCCCGAGCUCAACUUGGGAACUGCAUCUGAGACUGGAAGGCUCGAGUGCUGGAGAGGGUGGUAGAAUUCCACGUGUAGCGGUGAAAUGCGUAGAGAUGUGGAGGAAUACCAGUGGCGAAGGCGGCCACCUGGACAGUAACUGACGCUGAGGCGCGAAAGUGUGGGUAGCAAACA
This 207-nucleotide ribosomal RNA is filed under the name uncultured Holophagaceae bacterium. RNAcentral describes it as "partial 16S ribosomal RNA". It matches the Rfam family "Bacterial small subunit ribosomal RNA", at positions 568 to 774 of the family's 1533-position model. Lineage: Bacteria; Pseudomonadati; Acidobacteriota; Holophagae; Holophagales; Holophagaceae. The record is from RNAcentral.